This 450-nucleotide ribosomal RNA is filed under the name uncultured bacterium. Its description in RNAcentral is "partial 16S ribosomal RNA". It matches the Rfam family "Bacterial small subunit ribosomal RNA", at positions 354 to 796 of the family's 1533-position model. The record is from RNAcentral.
GUGGGGAAUCUUCCGCAAUGGACGAAAGUCUGACGGAGCAACGCCGCGUGAACGAUGACGGCCUUCGGGUUGUAAAGUUCUGUUAUACGGGACGAAUGGUACGACGGCCAAUACCCGUCGUAAGUGACGGUACCGUAAGAGAAAGCCACGGCUAACUACGUGCCAGCAGCCGCGGUAAUACGUAGGUGGCAAGCGUUGUCCGGAAUUAUUGGGCGUAAAGGGCGCGCAGGCGGCGUCGUAAGUCGGUCUUAAAAGUGCGGGGCUUAACCCCGUGAGGGGACCGAAACUGCGAUGCUAGAGUAUCGGAGAGGAAAGCGGAAUUCCUAGUGUAGCGGUGAAAUGCGUAGAUAUUAGGAGGAACACCAGUGGCGAAAGCGGCUUUCUGGACGACAACUGACGCUGAGGCGCGAAAGCCAGGGGAGCAAACGGGAUUAGAAACCCGGGUAGUCC